Molecule: non-coding RNA, 88 nt
Organism: Providencia rettgeri DSM 1131
Lineage: Bacteria; Pseudomonadati; Pseudomonadota; Gammaproteobacteria; Enterobacterales; Morganellaceae
Source: Rfam
AUCUAUGGUGGCGUUGGCGGGGCAGCCUUCGGGCUGGCUGGUCUCCUUUACUACCAGUACUGCGAACCCUGUCAACGUCACCACCCUU